UACGGAGGGUGCGAGCGUUAAUCGGAAUUACUGGGCGUAAAGCGCACGCAGGCGGUUUGUUAAGCUAGAUGUGAAAGCCCCGGGCUCAACCUGGGAUGGUCAUUUAGAACUGGCAGACUAGAGUCUUGGAGAGGGGAGUGGAAUUCCAGGUGUAGCGGUGAAAUGCGUAGAUAUCUGGAGGAACAUCAGUGGCGAAGGCGACUCCCUGGCCAAAGACUGACGCUCAUGUGCGAAAGUGUGGGGAGCGAACAGC
Molecule: ribosomal RNA, 253 nt
Filed under: uncultured bacterium
Lineage: Bacteria
Description: partial 16S ribosomal RNA
Rfam family: Bacterial small subunit ribosomal RNA
Source: RNAcentral